CACGUAGUUAGCCGUGGCUUCCUCCUCGGCUACCGUCUCGUUUCGUCACCGAAGACAGAGGUUUACAAUCCGAAAACCUUCUUCCCUCACGCGGCGUCGCUGCAUCAGAGUUCCCUCCAUUGUGCAAUAUCCCCACUGCUGCCUCCCGUAGGAGUCUGGGCCGUGUCUCAGUCCCAAUGUGGCCGUUCAACCUCUCAGUCCGGCUACCGAUCGUCGACUUGGUGGGCCGUUACCCCGCCAACUAUCUAAUCGGACGCGAGCCCAUCCUAUAGCGGAUUGCUCCUUUGGCGCCAAAGGGAUGUCCCCCAGCGCGUUAUGCGGUAUUAGCGUUCGUUUCCAAACGUUAUCCCCCUCUAUAGGGCAGGUUGCUCACGUGUUACUCACCCGUCCGCCACUAAGUUCAGGGGCACGGCCCCCUUCCUUCGUUCGACUUGCAUGUGUUAGGCGCGCCGCCAGCGUUCGUCCUGUAGCCAGGAUCAAACGUCU
Molecule: ribosomal RNA, 486 nt
Filed under: uncultured Oscillospiraceae bacterium
Lineage: Bacteria; Bacillati; Bacillota; Clostridia; Eubacteriales; Oscillospiraceae
Description: partial 16S ribosomal RNA
Source: RNAcentral